GUCGUCGUGAGGCGGGGUGGAAAGUAACCGGAAGCGAACUGUUGGUCCGUAGGAUAACGAACCUGUUUCGGCGGUGUAUGGCGGCGAGCCUUCACGAAGGCGGCGAAGCCUGGAAUCAAUGCAGCACGCUGUAGUGGCGGAUAAAGCGAUGCUGUGGCGUACAACGUGAUUGAGGACGGAACGAUGGGAAGGUGGCACGC
This is a non-coding RNA of Ferrovum sp., 200 nucleotides long. The record is from Rfam. NCBI's taxonomy places the organism in Bacteria, Pseudomonadati, Pseudomonadota, Betaproteobacteria, Ferrovales, Ferrovaceae.